This 432-nucleotide ribosomal RNA is filed under the name uncultured bacterium. RNAcentral describes it as "bacterial SSU rRNA". It matches the Rfam family "Bacterial small subunit ribosomal RNA", at positions 28 to 463 of the family's 1533-position model. The record is from RNAcentral.
GACGAACGCUGGCGGCGUGCUUAACACAUGCAAGUCGAGCGGUAAGGCUCCUUCGGGAGUACACGAGCGGCGAACGGGUGAGUAACACGUGAGCAAUCUGCCCUUCACUUCGGGAUAACUCCGGGAAACCGGUGCUAAUACCGAAUACGACCACUUCAGGCACCUGAUGGUGGUGGAAAGUUCCGGCGGUGAAGGAUGAGCUCGCGGCCUAUCAGCUUGUUGGUGGGGUAAUGGCCCACCAAGGCAACGACGGGUAGCCGGCCUGAGAGGGUGACCGGCCACACUGGGACUGAGACACGGCCCAGACUCCUACGGGAGGCAGCAGUGGGGAAUAUUGGACAAUGGGCGAAAGCCUGAUCCAGCAACGCCGCGUGAGGGAUGACUGCCUCGGUUGUAAACCUCUUUCAGCAGGGACGAAGCGCAAGUGACGUA